This is a long non-coding RNA of Frieseomelitta varia, 348 nucleotides long. RefSeq lists it as uncharacterized. The record is from RefSeq and is a predicted model, not a curated record. NCBI's taxonomy places the organism in Eukaryota, Metazoa, Arthropoda, Insecta, Hymenoptera, Apidae. The transcript has 4 exons.
GAUUUUCUUUUGUGUAAGGUGUUGAUUGAUGAUGUGGGUAACGUCGAAGCAAGCGUUUGCAGUGUGCAAGAUGGAUGCCGUAAACAACGAUAUCUCAGUUACAGUCAAUAAAAUUGUGGUUCUUCAAGACAUUCAUUUUCGACAUGCACUCUCUGCUGUAAAGAAUCGAAUGAUGCUUUAAAGAUCAUGAAUAUUUUCUCCUGGCAUUUGGUCAUUUCUACUUGACAACAAACUUCACGAUGGCUAUCCUUAAAUAUUGAUGACAACAUUUUUUGCAUCUAAUCUCUGUUACAGAUUUACUAAAUAGUGGAAGCAUCGAAGGAUUUGGAAUGACAAGACACGAGAGCU